UAUGGUGCCUUGGUCCCAUAUUGACGUUAUCUUAGUGCACAGAGGACACCCUCAAGCUACUCAAGCUGGGAUAACUGAUAAGCAGCCAGACCAGAACUGGGACACUGAAGGGUUCAGAGGACCUGAAAACAAGAAUAGCAAUGACUCCCUAAAUUUUCCCAUGUAAAUGUCAAUACCGUGGCAUUCACCACUUCUCUCUAAAGUCCUGUUUAAGACCACGGAGCCAGGAAGAGAAUCAUCGAGCCAUAUUCUCCUGCUCCUCUGCAGAAAGCAAAUGGCUAUCCUUGGAUAUCAAUCACUGGGGUAAAAGCUAAGAAAUGUUACCAAGGAAACGUUGUCAGGCCCAUUGGCAGUCUCCUUUGUUUAGGAAGUUUACCCAUGAGCAGCAUUUUAUUGUUUUGAAAUCAAGAAAUGUAAAAAUAAAAUAAAUCUUCAAUGGA
Long non-coding RNA from Parus major (Great Tit), 440 nucleotides. RefSeq lists it as uncharacterized. The record is from RefSeq and is a predicted model, not a curated record. The transcript has 2 exons. NCBI's taxonomy places the organism in Eukaryota, Metazoa, Chordata, Aves, Passeriformes, Paridae.